UGAGAGCGGCGGACGGGUGAGUAAUGCCUAGGAAUCUGCCUGGUAGUGGGGGAUAACGUUCGGAAACGAACGCUAAUACCGCAUACGUCCUACGGGAGAAAGCAGGGGACCUUCGGGCCUUGCGCUAUCAGAUGAGCCUAGGUCGGAUUAGCUAGUUGGUGAGGUAAUGGCUCACCAAGGCGACGAUCCGUAACUGGUCUGAGAGGAUGAUCAGUCACACUGGAACUGAGACACGGUCCAGACUCCUACGGGAGGCAGCAGUGGGGAAUAUUGGACAAUGGGCGAAAGCCUGAUCCAGCCAUGCCGCGUGUGUGAAGAAGGUCUUCGGAUUGUAAAGCACUUUAAGUUGGGAGGAAGGGCAGUUACCUAAUACGUGAUUGUUUUGACGUUACCGACAGAAUAAGCACCGGCUAACUCUGUGCCAGCAGCCGCGGUAAUACAGAGGGUGCAAGCGUUAAUCGGAAUUACUGGGCGUAAAGCGCGCGUAGGUGGUUUGUUAAGUUGGAUGUGAAAUCCCCGGGCUCAACCUGGGAACUGCAUUCAAAACUGACUGACUAGAGUAUGGUAGAGGGUGGUGGAAUUUCCUGUGUAGCGGUGAAAUGCGUAGAUAUAGGAAGGAACACCAGUGGCGAAGGCGACCACCUGGACUAAUACUGACACUGAGGUGCGAAAGCGUGGGGAGCAAACAGGA
RNAcentral lists this ribosomal RNA (691 nucleotides) under soil bacterium Vanc-S1T-M1LLLSSL-2. Its description in RNAcentral is "bacterial SSU rRNA". It matches the Rfam family "Bacterial small subunit ribosomal RNA", at positions 90 to 777 of the family's 1533-position model. The record is from RNAcentral.